AACGCGAAGAACCUUACCUAGACUUGACAUCUCCUGAAUUACUCUUAAUCGAGGAAGUCACUUCGGUGACAGGAAGACAGGUGGUGCAUGGUUGUCGUCAGCUCGUGUCGUGAGAUGUUGGGUUAAGUCCCGCAACGAGCGCAACCCCUAUUGUUAGUCGCUACCAUUUAGUUGAGCACUCUAGCGAGACUGCCCGGGUUAACCGGGAGGAAGGUGGGGAUGACGUCAAGUCCUCAUGGCCCUUACAGGCUGGGCUACACGCGUGCUACAAUGGCGGUGACAGAGGGAUGCGAAGGAGCGAUCCUUAGCAAAUCUCGAAAAGCCGUCUCAGUUCGGAUUGCGCUCUGCAACUCGAGCGCAUGAAGUUGGAAUCGCUAGUAAUCGCGGAUCAGCACGCCGCGGUGAAUACGUUCCCGGGCCUUGUACACACCGCCCGU
RNAcentral lists this ribosomal RNA (437 nucleotides) under uncultured bacterium. Its description in RNAcentral is "bacterial SSU rRNA". It matches the Rfam family "Bacterial small subunit ribosomal RNA", at positions 958 to 1397 of the family's 1533-position model. The record is from RNAcentral.